Molecule: ribosomal RNA, 497 nt
Filed under: uncultured bacterium
Lineage: Bacteria
Description: partial 16S ribosomal RNA
Rfam family: Bacterial small subunit ribosomal RNA
Source: RNAcentral
GACGAACGCUGGCGGCGUGCCUAAUACAUGCAAGUUGAGCGAUGAAGAUUGGUGCUUGCACCAAUUUGAAGAGCAGCGAACGGGUGAGUAACGCGUGGGGAAUCUGCCUUUGAGCGGGGGACAACAUUUGGAAACGAAUGCUAAUACCGCAUAACAACUUUAAACAUAAGUUUUAAGUUUGAAAGAUGCAAUUGCAUCACUCAAAGAUGAUCCCGCGUUGUAUUAGCUAGUUGGUGAGGUAAAGGCUCACCAAGGCGAUGAUACAUAGCCGACCUGAGAGGGUGAUCGGCCACAUUGGGACUGGGACACGGCCCAAACUCCUACGGGAGGCAGCAGUAGGGAAUCUUCGGCAAUGGACGAAAGUCUGACCGAGCAACGCCGCGUGAGUGAAGAAGGUUUUCGGAUCGUAAAACUCUGUUGGUAGAGAAGAACGUUGGUGAGAGUGGAAAGCUCAUCAAGUGACGGUAACUACCCAGAAAGGGACGGCUAACUACGCG